CUACGGGGGGCUGCAGUGAGGAAUAUUGCACAAUGGGGGAAACCCUGAUGCAGCAACGCCGCGUGGAGGAUGACGCAUUUCGGUGUGUAAACUCCUUUUAUGAGUCAAGAAAAUGACGGUAGCUCAUGAAUAAGCACCGGCUAACUCCGUGCCAGCAGCCGCGGUAAUACGGAGGGUGCAAGCGUUACUCGGAAUCACUGGGCGUAAAGGACGCGUAGGCGGGAUGUCAAGUCAGGUGUGAAAUCCUAUGGCUCAACCAUAGAACUGCACUUGAAACUGGCAACCUAGAGUAUGGGAGGGGGAGAUGGAAUUAGUGGUGUAGGGGUAAAAUCCGUAGAUAUCACUAGGAAUACCGAAAGCGAAGGCGAUCUCCCGGAACAUUACUGACGCUAAGGCGUGAAAGCGUGGGGAGCAAACAGGAUUAGAUACCCUCGUAGUC
RNAcentral lists this ribosomal RNA (439 nucleotides) under uncultured bacterium. RNAcentral describes it as "partial 16S ribosomal RNA". It matches the Rfam family "Bacterial small subunit ribosomal RNA", at positions 339 to 795 of the family's 1533-position model. The record is from RNAcentral.